GACAGAGGGUGCAAACGUUGCUCGGAAUCACUGGGCGUAAAGGGCGUGUAGGCGGGAAAGUAAGUCGGGCGUGAAAUCCCUAGGCUCAACCUAGGAACUGCACUCGAAACUACUUUUCUAGAGUGCCGGAGAGGAAAGCGGAAUUCCUGGUGUAGAGGUGAAAUUCGUAGAUAUCAGGAGGAACACCAGUGGCGAAGGCGGCUUUCUGGACGGUAACUGGCGCUGAGGAGCGAAAGCGUGGGGAGCGAACAGG
This 253-nucleotide ribosomal RNA is filed under the name uncultured bacterium. Its description in RNAcentral is "partial 16S ribosomal RNA". It matches the Rfam family "Bacterial small subunit ribosomal RNA", at positions 524 to 776 of the family's 1533-position model. The record is from RNAcentral.